This 495-nucleotide ribosomal RNA is filed under the name uncultured bacterium. RNAcentral's name for it is "partial 16S ribosomal RNA". It matches the Rfam family "Bacterial small subunit ribosomal RNA", at positions 30 to 507 of the family's 1533-position model. The record is from RNAcentral.
UGAACGCUGGCGGCGUGCCUCAUACAUGCAAGUCGAGCGAACAGACGCGGAGCUUGCUCCUCUGACGUUAGCGGCGGACGGGUGAGUAACACGUGGAUAACCUACCUAUAAGACUGGGAUAACUUCGGGAAACCGGAGCUAAUACCGGAUAAUAUAUUGAACCGCAUGGUUCCAUAGUGAAAGACGGUUUUGCUGUCACUUAUAGAUGGAUCCGCGCCGCAUUAGCUAGUUGGUAAGGUAACGGCUUACCAAGGCGACGAUGCGUAGCCGACCUGAGAGGGUGAUCGGCCACACUGGAACUGAGACACGGUCCAGACUCCUACGGGAGGCAGCAGUAGGGAAUCUUCCGCAAUGGGCGAAAGCCUGACGGAGCAACGCCGCGUGAGUGAUGAAGGUCUUCGGAUCGUAAAACUCUGUUAUUAGGGAAGAACAAAUGUGUAAGUAACUAUGCACGUCUUGACGGUACCUAAUCAGAAAGCCACGGCUAACUACGUG